Long non-coding RNA from Aethina tumida (small hive beetle), 934 nucleotides. RefSeq lists it as uncharacterized. The record is from RefSeq and is a predicted model, not a curated record. NCBI's taxonomy places the organism in Eukaryota, Metazoa, Arthropoda, Insecta, Coleoptera, Nitidulidae. The transcript is spliced from 2 exons.
GGAUGAGGAAUGGAAUCACAUUGUGUUUAGGGAUGAAUCUCGCUUUUCCUUGGGCAUGCACGAUGGUCAUGUGUUAGUAAGACGGCGACUUGGAGAAAGACGUGAACCUCACUUUGCUGUGGAGAGUCACACACUAUGGAUUUAAUGUGAUAUGUGGAUGACGUUUUGGAGUCUUAUUUUCAUCCCUACAUAAGAAGAUAUCCUGGACUAAUUUUUCAGCAAAAUAAUGCCCAUCUAUAUAUUACCAGGAAUACAUUAAACUUCCUACAAGCCCCCCAAGUGAAUUCUGUCUUGACCACCCAGAUUUUUGCCCAAUCGAACGUGUGUGGUAUAUAAUGGGGCGACGUUUAAGGAAUUUACAGCGUCUUCCACGGACUUUUGAUGAUCUAAGAUGUCAGAUUCAGUUCGAGUGGAAUGAGAUACCACAAGAAAAUAUCGAUAAUCUCUUAAUGUCUUAAUCAAAGAGAGGGUCCGACCCAUUAUUAGCUUUUGACAAUUUAUGCUUUAAGAUUUAAGGAUAAAUCAAUUAUAUUUAGGUGUUACGUUUUUUUUUCACGCAGUAUAUGUACCAAUAUGAUCCUCGGAAUAGUUGCAGCUAAAAUUAUUCUGACGCUUUCUAAAACAUUGUUAUGUACCAAUCAAAUUUUGAAAGUAACAUACAAGGCAUUGUUUUAAAGGAGGUUAAAAUAAUUUUAUCUGAGUCAUGAGGUAGUAGAAGAUUUAAAAAAUGAAACAUCAGUUUUUUAUAAAUAAAGUAUACCAGGACCUGGGCUGGAAGAGCUAGACAUAAUUUUUAUAAACGGACUUCGAUAACUCGAAGUUUUGAUAGCUCAAUUUUUUUCUGGCAAGUCAUCGUUCGAGUUAUCAAAGUUCGACUGUAUUUAUUUAAAUAAUAAUAUUAUAUAUUUCACCAACAAAACCUUUUUGGAUUAUA